UGAUUAGUGGCGAACGGGUGAGUAACACGUGAGUAACCUGCCCCUGACUCUGGGAUAAGCCCGGGAAACCGGGUCUAAUACUGGAUAUGCACCGUGGACCGCAUGGUUCUUGGUGGAAAGAUUUUUUGGUCAGGGAUGGACUCGCGGCCUAUCAGCUUGUUGGUGAGGUAAUGGCUCACCAAGGCGACGACGGGUAGCCGGCCUGAGAGGGUGACCGGCCACACUGGGACUGAGACACGGCCCAGACUCCUACGGGAGGCAGCAGUGGGGAAUAUUGCACAAUGGGCGAAAGCCUGAUGCAGCGACGCCGCGUGAGGGAUGACGGCCUUCGGGUUGUAAACCUCUUUCAGUAGGGAAGAAGCGAAAGUGACGGUACCUGCAGAAGAAGCGCCGGCUAACUACGUGCCAGCAGCCGCGGUAAUACGUAGGGCGCAAGCGUUAUCCGGAAUUAUUGGGCGUAAAGAGCUCGUAGGCGGUUUGUCGCGUCUGCCGUGAAAGUCCGAGGCUCAACCUCGGAUCUGCGGUGGGUACGGGCAGACUAGAGUGAUGUAGGGGAGACUGGAAUUCCUGGUGUAGCGGUGAAAUGCGCAGAUAUCAGGAGGAACACCGAUGGCGAAGGCAGGUCUCUGGGCAUUAACUGACGCUGAGGAGCGAAAGCAUGGGGAGCGAACAGGAUUAGAUACCCUGGUAGUCCAUGCCGUAAACGUUUGGGCACUAGGUGUGGGGGACAUUCCACGUUUUCCGCGCCGUAGCUAACGCAUUAAGUGCCCCCGCCUGGGGAGUACGGCCGCCAGGCUAAAACUC
Molecule: ribosomal RNA, 804 nt
Filed under: Arthrobacter sp.
Lineage: Bacteria; Bacillati; Actinomycetota; Actinomycetes; Micrococcales; Micrococcaceae
Description: bacterial SSU rRNA
Rfam family: Bacterial small subunit ribosomal RNA
Source: RNAcentral